Suricata suricatta (meerkat) is the source of this 435-nucleotide long non-coding RNA. RefSeq lists it as uncharacterized. The transcript is spliced from 3 exons. NCBI's taxonomy places the organism in Eukaryota, Metazoa, Chordata, Mammalia, Carnivora, Herpestidae. The record is from RefSeq and is a predicted model, not a curated record.
CCAGGCUAUUGUUUAUUAUCAUCUCUGCACGGUUGGGCCUGAGAUAUGCUAAAGAAAACAACUACAAAUUCAAGGAAUAGACAAAUACCUCCUUUCCCCUCUGCUCGACCACAGUCUGGGCAGACCCACCAUUUACAUGGAGAUGGCAGUCACCAACACCAUGAGGUAGACUGUGCAGAGAGAGAACACGGAGACGCGUCAUUUUCACCAGGCCACCGGCUUCCACGGUCCUUCAUACAUCAGUGCUUCCGCGGCCACAGCAAACCCUUUUCCUCCUGCUCUUAAGAAACUGCUCAUUACAACUUCAGUUAGAAGGCACCGGUGGAACAGAGGAAGGUUACCACCCACCCAGCAAUCAUCUCCUGCUGCCUGAGCCCUUUUGGAGAUGCAGUCAUCAGCACUGAACCACAGGAGCAUCAGCAGCAUAAAGGCAUU